AGCAAUAAGGUUAAUUAUAUCAAUCGUGGCACUCACAGUCUGUGCAGAUUUUCUUUGAGAAAAAAGGAAAUGCCAAUUUGCCAGAAGGUGCAAAUUGUUCAUGUAUGGCAUGCCUCUUAUGCUGUGUAUAAAAGCCAGGGCAGAAGGCGACACAACUGCAAACUGACCCGGCAAUCACAGCCACUGCAAACAUGUGAGCUCUUUUGGUCAGGUGAAGAUGUGGUGGUCUGAGGAAGACUCUGUAAUGUCUCUUUGUUUGUGUUUCACGUCCAGGUUGACAGUAUUGGCUCUGAUGACACUUCUGAUGGUCUCGGUUGAGUCGGACCUCUCAAAUGAAGAGUGGAAGUCUCUGAGUAACCCACAGAGCAGGACCCUGUUUUUCCGAAUCCUGCAGUCAUAUCUUGAAGACAGAGAGAGUGAAGUUCAAGCGAUGAACAGGAAAACAAACAUGAAGGAAAACAAAAACAGCAAUAUAGAAAAUACUGGUUAUGACAAGUACGAGCUCUAUCGUCACAAUGACAUUUAUGAUGUUUAAUUGAGGAUUUCAUUUUUAACAUGCAAAUCAGGUAUUAGGUCUAAUAGUUUGAGAAAUGUUCAAGUCAUUAUGUCUGCAAUGAUGUUUUGCAUAGUAAAAUUGAAACACUUGCUGGACAAAUUUCUGCCUGUUUUUCUUUAUAUAUUUCUCAUUUAUAGUAAGUAAAUGAUUCAUAAUAGUUUUUUGUUAUUAAUGUUUAACAAAGUGAAAAACUAGAGUUGAUCCAAGCAAAGCAUGUCAAGGAAGAAAUAUACGGGUCACUUCAAAUUAUCAUUCCUCUAUUGUUUAAAUAUUUCU
Cyprinus carpio (common carp) is the source of this 832-nucleotide long non-coding RNA. The record is from Ensembl. NCBI's taxonomy places the organism in Eukaryota, Metazoa, Chordata, Actinopteri, Cypriniformes, Cyprinidae.